AACAAAUGGCUGACGCCUUAAUCGAAAUCAAACUCGUUGGAAAAAUAGUGUUAAAUAAAAGAAAGUUAUACAAGACAAACUGAAAAAUCUUUACCCACAAGUUAUGUUAAAUAAGAAAAAUAAAUUAUCAUCCAACUCACUGCGAAAAAGAAAGGAUUGGAAUUCAAUGUGGUAUCAGGAUAAUGGAUUGUUUCUUGGUUUCGGAGCACGAACUAGUUUUCUGGAUUGGUUACAGGAUUCCUCGUAGUUUCCGGUCUCUCUUACGGAUUCUUCUGAUGGAAAAUUGGACUGCUGUUCUUCGGAUUUCGGAUGAUCUCGAAGACGUUUCAGGAGUUCUCGGAAUAAGUUACAUACAUUGGAGUACACGCCAAAUUUCAUCAAUGAGCAAAGUUAGAAAAAUUCAAUUUUAAAUCAAGGAUUUCCUCCUCAAAAUAACGUUAAAACAUCAAAGGAUGGAUGAAAAAUGUGCUUUAGGAGCUGAACUAUAUUAAUUGAUACUUUUGGAAGCAAACUAAACGGUUUUAGAUAAGAUUUCCACCAACAAAAAAUCUCUCUGUCAAAAUUUCAAGGUUAUGUUCUCUCGGUGAACUAAACGAUGGUUAUUUUUAUCACAGUAUUUCUAAAAUUGUGUCGGU
Molecule: non-coding RNA, 635 nt
Organism: Onthophagus taurus
Lineage: Eukaryota; Metazoa; Arthropoda; Insecta; Coleoptera; Scarabaeidae
Source: RefSeq, a predicted model, not a curated record